RNAcentral lists this long non-coding RNA (482 nucleotides) under Astyanax mexicanus (Mexican tetra). Its description in RNAcentral is "lncRNA (ENSAMXG00005005343.1)". Lineage: Eukaryota; Metazoa; Chordata; Actinopteri; Characiformes; Acestrorhamphidae. The record is from RNAcentral.
UUCAGCAGUUGAUUGAUUUGGGACAGAAGAUGAAAGAAACUCAAAGUGGUCAAAAAACGAUAAAAGAAGAAGCAGAAAAACAAAUUAACGAUCUUAAACAACAGCUGCAGAAAAAGGAGGAGGACGUUUCUAAACUGAAGCAGAGUAAUACAGAUCUUAAAGAGCAGGUGAAGAACAAGGAUAAGGACGUUUCACAGCUGAACAAUGAAAAAGCAGCUCUGAAUGCAGAACUGGGAAAGAAGAAGGAGGAGCUAAUCAAAGCCGAAAAGGAGGUGAAGGUUAAGGAGGAGGCCAUCGAUAACGUGAAAAAGGAGCUCAAGACCAAAGAGGAGGAGAUCAAGGGUGGAUGCAGCGAAGUUAAAAAGAAGCUGAAGAGUAAGGAGGAGGAGGUUACUAAGCUGAAGGAAAGCCACAAAAGUAAGAUCUUUCAUUUCUCUGAUUAUAGAAGAAAAGCAUUUCAAUAUUUUACUGUUUAAACUAGU